Molecule: ribosomal RNA, 593 nt
Filed under: uncultured Bacteroidota bacterium
Lineage: Bacteria; Pseudomonadati; Bacteroidota
Description: bacterial SSU rRNA
Rfam family: Bacterial small subunit ribosomal RNA
Source: RNAcentral
GGUAGAGUUCUUCGGAGCUUGAGACCGGCGCACGGGUGCGUAACGCGUAUGCAAUCUACCUUUCACAGAGGGAUAGCCCAGAGAAAUUUGGAUUAAUACCUCAUAGUAUGCAGAGUUGGCAUCAACACUGCAUUAAAGUCACAACGGUGAAAGAUGAGCAUGCGUCCCAUUAGCUAGUUGGUAAGGUAACGGCUUACCAAGGCUACGAUGGGUAGGGGUCCUGAGAGGGAGAUCCCCCACACUGGUACUGAGACACGGACCAGACUCCUACGGGAGGCAGCAGUGAGGAAUAUUGGUCAAUGGGCGCAAGCCUGAACCAGCCAUGCCGCGUGCAGGAUGACGGUCCUAUGGAUUGUAAACUGCUUUUGUACGGGAAGAAACAACGAUUCGUGAAUCGUCUUGACGGUACCGUAAGAAUAAGGAUCGGCUAACUCCGUGCCAGCAGCCGCGGUAAUACGGAGGAUCCAAGCGUUAUCCGGAAUCAUUGGGUUUAAAGGGUCCGUAGGCGGUUUAGUAAGUCAGUGGUGAAAGCCCAUCGCUCAACGGUGGAACGGCCAUUGAUACUGCUAGACUUGAAUUAUUAGGAAGUAACU